CUCUUUCUCUUUCUCCUUCGCUGAAGCGUGGCUGUCCACUGCACCCUAGUCCACCUUCUUUCGUUCUCUCGUUCAGCAUAUGGAUUGAGCUCCGAAAUUGGCGCAUGUUUCAAAUUUCUCAUUGCUCAAGAUCCUCCCUGUCCCUUAUAGUUAUAAUAAUACAAAGCUCCUCUAGAUUUUUUAGGUAUGAACAUCAAAAAUCAAACUUAUUCGGUUUUCUCAUCGGGAUUUGGGUUCUUACCAAUAAGUACCCUGUCAAGAAUGCGUACAAAGACAGUUCCGUUGCGUAGCUUUUCUGGACAAAAAGCGCCCAAGUUCCGGCCACCAGUGCGCACAAUGAUCCGGCUGCAAUGCCACACAGAAAGCAGAACGAGCUAGUGAGGUCUGUAUCAAUCAACGUUUCGAUUCCAGUUCUGUUAAACAUCUCCCAUGUAUCCUUUGAAGCCUGUACGAUUCCUUUGUAAUACACCCCUACCUGCACAAAACCCCAUCUAUUUCCAUAAACUACAAGCCUUUUAGUUACUCCUGUGCAGCAAUUUGCACACGAGAACAUGAACUCAUCCACGUCUCCUGUAAGCAAACUUGUUGCACGAGCCAAACCCCGGAUAACACCAAGAACCGGUACAAGAAUCGAGCCAAAGCACACUCUCCCUAUCGAGUUCAUGGCUGAGUCUCUUAUCACUGUUUUAAGCUCAACCUCUUCCCCACUUGCAAAUCUCAUGAACUUGAUAUGUGAUACAGUGACAAACAUCAUGUUUCUAGCUACGUGAAGUGUCCACGUGAGGCUUAAAAGAGUCAGGAAUAUGAACAGGACAUUAAGCUUGUUGGUACCGAUUGCAGUUGCUCCCCCAAUGCCGCACAUCAGGAAAGCGGAAUAGAAGGUACAGAUGAAUAUCAAUAUAGGCGCUGCAGUUCUGAUUCUUGGAGGGUAAGAUGCCACUGAAAGUACUAGAAUCCUGAUGGCGUGCUGAAACCGGGAAUGGACCCAGCACGCGUACAAGGAUUGAAUGACAGCAGAAGCUAGAGCGAAUACAGCUGCUGCGGCACUUCCUUUAGAUCCAAUGGAGACGAGUAAAAUCCCAUACGCGCAGGUAACAAGAGGGCUAAUGACAAAUGCAGCCUUGAACGCUCGCGAAGGGUUGAUGCUCGUGAGCAACUGCCAUGCAAAUCCUGCAAUUCCUGCACAAGCUGUGGAGGAGAGCAGUGGGAGGUACCAUUUCUUUGGGUGGAAACGAUGGCUGUCUGAAGCUGAUAUGACACCCCGAACUAUGAGGUACAGCUCAAGGAUUACAAUCAGGAGAAAUUGUAUGCAGAAAAGGGGUACGAGGAAGUCAAGAUGAAGCCCAGAAACAGAUUUUCAGAUUCUUGAAAGAAGCUGUGCAUAGGGUUGAUGUUUGAAUUCAAGGUAACUGCUUUGUCUGAGAAAUUCACAUAUCAUUAUUGAUUGUAGUUGUUGAUUCAAUUACUUGAGACCCACGAUUUAGCAUGAGAUAGUGAUUAAUUUACA
Molecule: long non-coding RNA, 1507 nt
Organism: Salvia hispanica
Lineage: Eukaryota; Viridiplantae; Streptophyta; Magnoliopsida; Lamiales; Lamiaceae
Source: RefSeq, a predicted model, not a curated record